RNAcentral lists this ribosomal RNA (460 nucleotides) under uncultured bacterium. Its description in RNAcentral is "partial 16S ribosomal RNA". It matches the Rfam family "Bacterial small subunit ribosomal RNA", at positions 338 to 795 of the family's 1533-position model. The record is from RNAcentral.
CCUACGGGUGGCAGCAGUGAGGAAUAUUGGUCAAUGGGCGCUAGCCUGAACCAGCCAAGUAGCGUGAAGGAUGACUGCCCUAUGGGUUGUAAACUUCUUUUGUAAGGGAAUAAAGUGCGGCACGUGUGCCGUUUUGCGUGUACCUUAUGAAUAAGGAUCGGCUAACUCCGUGCCAGCAGCCGCGGUAAUACGGAGGAUGCGAGCGUUAUCCGGAUUUAUUGGGUUUAAAGGGAGCGUAGGCGGGUUGUUAAGUCAGUUGUGAAAGUUUGCGGCUCAACCGUAAAAUUGCAGUUGAUACUGGCAUCCUUGAGUACAGUAGAGGUAGGCGGAAUUCGUGGUGUAGCGGUGAAAUGCUUAGAUAUCACGCAGAACUCCGAUUGCGAAGGCAGCAUACUGGACUGCAACUGACGCUGAUGCUCGAAAGUGUGGGUAUCAAACAGGAUUAGAUACCCUAGUAGUC